UAGCGGAGGAAAAGAAACUAACAAGGAUUCCCCUAGUAACGGCGAGUGAAGAGGGAAGAGCCCAAGAUUGAAAGCUGGCGUCUUCGGCGUCCGCAUUGUAAUCUCAAGAAGUGUUUUCCGCUUCGGACCAUGCCUAAGUCCCUUGGAAAAGGGCAUCAUAGAGGGUGAUAAUCCCGUACAUGGCAUGGAGCGCCCGAAGCUUUGUGAUACGCUUUCUAAGAGUCGAGUUGUUUGGGAAUGCAGCUCAAAAUGGGUGGUAAAUGCCAUCUAAGGCUAAAUAUUGGGGAGAGACCGAUAGCGAACAAGUACAGUGAUGGAAAGAUGAAAAGAACUUUGAAAAGAGAGUUAAACAGUACGUGAAAUUGCCAAAAGGGAAGGGUAGGAGGUCAGAGAUGCGUUCUGGGAUUCAGCCUUGCUUUUGCUUGGUGUUUUUCCCAAAUUGCAGGCCAACGUCGGUUUUGGGCGCUGGAGAAGGGUGGAAGGAACGUGGCACCCCUCGGGGUGUGUUAUAGCCUUCUACUGGAUACAGUGACCGAGACCGAGGACAGCAGCGUACUCGCAAGAGCGGGCCUUCGGGCACCUUUACGCUUAGGGCGUUGGCAUAAUGGCCCUCUACCACCCGUCU
RNAcentral lists this ribosomal RNA (625 nucleotides) under Ustilago striiformis. RNAcentral's name for it is "LSU rRNA". It matches the Rfam family "Eukaryotic large subunit ribosomal RNA", at positions 48 to 654 of the family's 3401-position model. Lineage: Eukaryota; Fungi; Basidiomycota; Ustilaginomycetes; Ustilaginales; Ustilaginaceae. The record is from RNAcentral.